This 468-nucleotide ribosomal RNA is filed under the name uncultured Glomus. Its description in RNAcentral is "SSU rRNA". It matches the Rfam family "Eukaryotic small subunit ribosomal RNA", at positions 569 to 1042 of the family's 1831-position model. Lineage: Eukaryota; Fungi; Glomeromycota; Glomeromycetes; Glomerales; Glomeraceae. The record is from RNAcentral.
AGCAGCCGCGGUAAUUCCAGCUCCAAUAGCGUAUAUUAAAGUUGUUGCAGUUAAAAAGCUCGUAGUUGAAUUUCGGGGUCAGUAGGUUGGUCGUGCCACUGGUAUGCACUGGUCUCACUGAUUCCUCCUUCCUGAUGAGCCGUAAUGCCAUUAAUUUGGUGUUGCGGGGAAUCUGGACUGUUACUUUGAAAAAUUAGAGUGUUUAAAGCAGGCUAACGCUUGAAUACAUUAGCAUGGAAUAAUGAAAUAGGACGAUCGAUCCUAUUUUGUUGGUUUCUAGGAUUGACGUAAUGAUUAAUAGGGAUAGUUGGGGGCAUUAGUAUUCAAUUGUCAGAGGUGAAAUUCUUGGAUUUAUUGAAGACUAACUACUGCGAAAGCAUUUGCCAAGGAUGUUUUCAUUAAUCAAGAACGAAAGUUAGGGGAUCGAAGACGAUCAGAUACCGUCGUAGUCUUAACCAUAAACUAUGC